RNAcentral lists this ribosomal RNA (301 nucleotides) under uncultured bacterium. RNAcentral's name for it is "partial 16S ribosomal RNA". It matches the Rfam family "Bacterial small subunit ribosomal RNA", at positions 509 to 809 of the family's 1533-position model. The record is from RNAcentral.
CAGUCGCCACGGUAAUACGAAGGGGGCUAGCGUUGUUCGGAAUUACUGGGCGUAAAGGGCGCGUAGGCGGCCAUUCAAGUUAGAUGUGAAAGCCCUGGGCUCAACCUAGGAAUUGCAUUUGAUACUGUUUGGCUUGAGUUCGGGAGAGGUGAGUGGAAUUCUCAGUGUAGAGGUGAAAUUCGUAGAUAUUGGGAAGAACACCAGUGGCGAAGGCGGCUCACUGGACCGACACUGACGCUGAGGCGCGAAAGCGUGGGGAGCAAACAGGAUUAGAUACCCGCGUAGUCCCUGUCUCUUAUAU